Non-coding RNA from Myodes glareolus (Bank vole), 604 nucleotides. Lineage: Eukaryota; Metazoa; Chordata; Mammalia; Rodentia; Cricetidae. The record is from RefSeq and is a predicted model, not a curated record.
CUGGCGGCUGGGAAGCUGCUUGGUUGGAAGCUGAGGUUCACUUACUAUAGAGGGGGAGAAAGUACACACUCUCAAGGCAGUGCACAUUUUGCCGGGGAGAGUGGAAGAAGAGGAGGGGGAUGUUGCUGAUGGAUCUUUCUCCAGGACUCCCAGCUGCUACACCUCCCAACGCUGGACUUAGCGCUAACCUCAUGGGGCUGUCUUCUGGAGUCCUGAUCUGCGAGGGGAGUGUCCCAGGAGGAAGGGAAAGAAAGCCUGUCUGCAAAUGUCAUUUUGGUCCAUUUAUAAGCAGAGACCCUAGAGUGGCCCUGUCCUGUUGAUGCUUCUGCUCAUGCCGAUAUUUCCAAUGUGGUGACAGAUUAGAUAUGAAGGCCAGAAAAGAACACUGGACCCCCUGAAACUAGAAUUGGAAGCAGGUGUGAGCCGCCACCAAAGCCAGUUUCUCUGAAAGAGCAUCCGGUGUUCUUAAGCACUGAGUCAUCUCCGUCCCCUCUUGCUGCUUCUUGACAACAGAUGCAAUGUUACCAACAACCUCUGACUCCUGCCAUCAUGACUUCCCGGCUGUGGAAGACAUGGAACCAUGACUUGAAAUAAAUUCCUUCUC